GAGUUUGAUCAUGGCUCAGAUUGAACGCUGGCGGCAUGCUUUACACAUGCAAGUCGAACGGUAACAGGGAGCUUGCUCCGCUGACGAGUGGCGAACGGGUGAGUAAUGCGUCGGAACGUGCCGAGUAGUGGGGGAUAACGCAUCGAAAGGUGUGCUAAUACCGCAUACGAACUGAGGUUGAAAGUGGGGGACCUUCGGGCCUCACGCUAUUCGAGCGGCCGACGUCUGAUUAGCUAGUAGGUGAGGUAAAGGCUCACCUAGGCGACGAUCAGUAGCGGGUCUGAGAGGAUGAUCCGCCACACUGGGACUGAGACACGGCCCAGACUCCUACGGGAGGCAGCAGUGGGGAAUUUUGGACAAUGGGCG
This 366-nucleotide ribosomal RNA is filed under the name uncultured bacterium. RNAcentral describes it as "bacterial SSU rRNA". It matches the Rfam family "Bacterial small subunit ribosomal RNA", at positions 9 to 377 of the family's 1533-position model. The record is from RNAcentral.